Gasterosteus aculeatus aculeatus (three-spined stickleback) is the source of this 1550-nucleotide long non-coding RNA. Lineage: Eukaryota; Metazoa; Chordata; Actinopteri; Perciformes; Gasterosteidae. The record is from Ensembl.
GCAGUUGACACAGUACAGUGGUGUAGUGGUUAGCACUCUCGCCUCCCAGACAGAUGCCUCGGGUUCAACUCCACCCAGUGGUGCCUCUGUGUUAGGUGGUGUAGGCUAAGCCUGCACGGGAUUCACUCCAUACUUGUAAAAGUAAUGAAAAAAGUUUUUUAAAACUUCCGCAUCUGAAAAGAAUGCCAAAAUAUUUUGCAAAAAGUCAUGAAAUUCUAUCUUUAGUCAUAUGAAGGGCGACGACGGUGAGAAAACGUACUUUUGAAUAUAAAUCUGAAUUCUUUCUGAAUUGGAGUCAUAAGACAUUCUAAUGGCAGCAGUUGACACGGUACAGUGGUGUAGUGGUUAGCACUCUCGCCUCCCAGAGAGAUGCCUCGGGUUCAACUCCACCCAGUGGUGCCUCUGUGUUAGGUGGUGUAGGCUAAGCCUGCAUGGGGUUCACUCCAUAUUUGUAAAAGUAAUGGAAAAAACUUUUUUUAAACUUCCAAGUCUAAAAAAAAUGCCAAAAUAUUUUGCAAAAAGUAAUGAAAUUCUAUCUUUAGUCAUAUGAAGGUGUACGAUGGUGAGAAAACCUACUUUUGAAUAAAAAUCCGAAUUUUUUCUAAAUUGGAUUCAUAAGACAUUCUACCGGCAGCAGUUGACACGGUACAGUGGUGUAGUGGUUAGCACUCUCGCCUCCCAGACAGAUGCCUCGGGUUCAACUCCACCCAGUGGUGCCUCUGUGUUAGAUGGUGUAGGCUAAGCCUGAAUGGGAUUCAUUCCAUACUUGUAAAAGUAAUGGAAAAAAGUUUUUUAAACCUUCCGCAUCUGAAAAGAAUGCCAAAAUAUUUUGCGAAAUGUCAUGAAAUUCUAUCUUUAGUCAUAUGAAGGGGGACAAUGGUGAGAAAACGUACUUUUGAAUAAAAAUCUGAAUUUUUUCUAAAUUGGAGUAAUUAGACAUUCUAAUGGCUGCAGUUGACACAGUACAGUGGUGUAGUGGUUAGCACUCUCGCCUCCCAGAGAGAUGCCUCGGGUUCAACUCCACCCAGUGGAGCCUCUGUGUUAGGUGGUGUAGGGUAAGCGACCUGGGGGUUCGCUCCAUACUUGUAAAAGUAAAGGAAACAUUUUUUUAUAAAUUCCGCAUCUGAAAAGAAUCCCCAAAUAUUUUGCAAAAUGUCGUGAAGUUGUAUCUUUAGUCAUAUGAACGGGGGACGUCGGUAGAAAAACGUACUUUUGAAUAAAAUUCUAAAUUUUUCUAAAUUGGAGUAAUUAGACAUUCUACCGGCAGCAGUUGACACGGUACAGUGGUGUAGUGGUUAGCACUCUCGCCUCCCAGAGAGAUGCCUCGGGUUCAACUCCACCCAGUUGUCCCUCUGUGUUAGGUGGUGUAGGCUAAGCCUGCAUGGGAUUAAUUCCAUACUUGUAAAAGUAAUUAAAAAAGUUUUUUUAAAACUUCCGCAUCUGAAAAGAAUGCCAAAAUAUUUUGCAAAAUGUCAUGAAAUUCUAUCUUUAGUCAUAUGAAGGGGGACAAUGGAGAGAAAACGUACUUUUGAAUAAAAAUCUGAAUUUUU